Molecule: ribosomal RNA, 610 nt
Filed under: uncultured bacterium
Lineage: Bacteria
Description: bacterial SSU rRNA
Rfam family: Bacterial small subunit ribosomal RNA (bases 1-517)
Source: RNAcentral
CCUACGGGAGGCAGCAGUAGGGAAUAUUGGACAAUGGGCGAAAGCCUGAUCCAGCAAUGCCGCGUGAGUGAUGAAGGCCUUAGGGUCGUAAAGCUCUUUUACCAGGGAUGAUAAUGACAGUACCUGGAGAAUAAGCUCCGGCUAACUCCGUGCCAGCAGCCGCGGUAAUACGGAGGGAGCUAGCGUUGUUCGGAAUUACUGGGCGUAAAGCGUACGUAGGCGGUUAUUCAAGUCAGAGGUGAAAGCCCGGGGCUCAACCCCGGAACUGCCUUUGAAACUAGGUAGCUAGAAUCUUGGAGAGGUCAGUGGAAUUCCGAGUGUAGAGGUGAAAUUCGUAGAUAUUCGGAAGAACACCAGUGGCGAAGGCGACUGACUGGACAAGUAUUGACGCUGAGGUACGAAAGCGUGGGGAGCAAACAGGAUUAGAUACCCUGGUAGUCCACGCCGUAAACGAUGAUAACUAGCUGUUCGGGCACUUGGUGCUUGAGUGGCGCAGCUACGCAUUAAGUUAUCCGUCCGUCGGGUAGGUACGGUCGCGAAGAAUUAAAACGUUAAAAGGUAAAGUUAGUACGGCGUGAGACGUGCCGACGGACGACGACGAGGGAGUAGG